UUGGCAGGCAAAGGUUGUAUUUUUCUAGCUGAUCUUGGAGUAACUUCCACCUAGGAUCAAGUUAAUGAGGCAGCACAAAGGGGAAGUAGGUUUAAAAGGAAGUCAAACAGUGUAGUCUGGGCUCCCCCUGAAAGACAGAAGUGGCUGUUAGAGGGGGAGAAACCGUGUCCAUUGCCAGGCGGGCACAGCAAGGGCUGCAAAGGACACAAGUAUGGACUCCCUGAGUGAGAGCAGUGGCUCUCUGGUAACACAGGGCUGCUGCUCAGCCUCUUUUACACAUACGCCGUUCUGGUGUGAUCGCCAUGUUUACAGCAUGUACAGGUAGAGUGAAGAAAGAAAACAUACUUGUUGCCGUAGUCAAUCUUUGAAGUUACUUUUUGCUUAAGUUCCUUUAAUUCGUCCUUUGGCAAGGUGCCGGAAAGGAGCUGUGAUCGCCAUUCCAUCAAAUCACACA
Hyla sarda is the source of this 454-nucleotide long non-coding RNA. RefSeq lists it as uncharacterized. The transcript has 3 exons. NCBI's taxonomy places the organism in Eukaryota, Metazoa, Chordata, Amphibia, Anura, Hylidae. The record is from RefSeq and is a predicted model, not a curated record.